RNAcentral lists this ribosomal RNA (492 nucleotides) under uncultured bacterium. RNAcentral describes it as "partial 16S ribosomal RNA". It matches the Rfam family "Bacterial small subunit ribosomal RNA", at positions 29 to 507 of the family's 1533-position model. The record is from RNAcentral.
AGUGAACGCUGGCGGUAGGCCUAACACAUGCCAGUCGAACGGCAGCACAGUAAGAGCUUGCUCUUACGGGUGGCGAGUGGCGGACGGGUGAGGAAUACAUCGGAAUCUACUUUUUCGUGGGGGAUAACGUAGGGAAACUUACGCUAAUACCGCAUACGACCUACGGGUGAAAGCAGGGGAUCUUCGGACCUUGCGCGAUUGAAUGAGCCGAUGUCGGAUUAGCUUGUUGGCGGGGUAAAGGCCCACCAAGGCGACGAUCCGUAGCUGGUCUGAGAGGAUGAUCAGCCACACUGGAACUGAGACACGGUCCAGACUCCUACGGGAGGCAGCAGUGGGGAAUAUUGGACAAUGGGCGCAAGCCUGAUCCAGCCAUACCGCGUGGGUGAAGAAGGCCUUCGGGUUGUAAAGCCCUUUUGUUGGGAAAGAAAAGCAGCAGGUUAAUACCCCGCUGUUCUGACGGUACCCAAAGAAUAAGCACCGGCUAACUUCGUG